GAACGGACUGUCAUUCGGAUCCCUUCGGGGUGAAGAAAGAUAAGUUAGUGGCGAACGGGUGAGUAACGCGUGGGUAACCUGUCUAUAUGACCGGGAUAACAGCCGGAAACGGCUGCUAAUACCGGAUACACUUUUCCCUUGGCAUCAAGAGGAAAGCAAAGGUGGCCUCUCCAUGGAAGCUACCGCAUAAAGGUGGACCCGCGUCUGAUUAGCUAGUUGGUGGGGUAAUGGCCUACCAAGGCGACGAUCAGUAGCCGGCCUGAUAGGGUGAACGGCCACACUGGGACUGAGACACGGCCCAUACUCCUACGGGAGGCAGCAGUGGGGAAUUUUCCGCAAUGGGCGAUAGCCUGACGGAGCUACGCCGCGUGUACGAGGAANGGCUUCUGGUUGUNAAGUACUGUUGUNUGGGAAGAAGAGCGUAUAUGUAAAUAAUGUGUACGUGUGACGGUACCAACGAGGAAGCCCGGCCUACUACUUG
RNAcentral lists this ribosomal RNA (481 nucleotides) under uncultured bacterium. Its description in RNAcentral is "bacterial SSU rRNA". It matches the Rfam family "Bacterial small subunit ribosomal RNA", at positions 64 to 507 of the family's 1533-position model. The record is from RNAcentral.